Molecule: ribosomal RNA, 440 nt
Filed under: uncultured bacterium
Lineage: Bacteria
Description: partial 16S ribosomal RNA
Rfam family: Bacterial small subunit ribosomal RNA
Source: RNAcentral
CCUACGGGUGGCAGCAGUGGGGAAUAUUGGACAAUGGGGGCAACCCUGAUCCAGCGACGCCGCGUGUGUGAAGAAGUAUUUCGGUACGUAAAGCUCUAUCAGCAGGAAAGAAAAUGACGGUACCUGACUAUGAAGCCACGGCUAACUACGUGACAGCAGCAGCGGUAAUACGUAGGGGGCAAGCGUUACCCGGAUUUACUGGGUGUAAAGGGAGCGUAGACGGCAGCGCAAGUCUGGAGUGAAAUGCCGGGGCCCAACCCCGGAACUGCUCUGGAAACUGGGAAGCUGGAGUGCAGGAGAGGUAAGCAGAAUUCCUGGUGUAGCGGUGAAAUGCGUAGAGAUCAGGAGGAACACCGGCGGCGAAGGCGGCUUACUGGACGGUAACUGACGUUGAGGCUCGAAGGCGUGGGGAGCAAACAGGAUUAGAUACCCGGGUAGUC